RNAcentral lists this ribosomal RNA (492 nucleotides) under uncultured bacterium. RNAcentral's name for it is "partial 16S ribosomal RNA". It matches the Rfam family "Bacterial small subunit ribosomal RNA", at positions 29 to 507 of the family's 1533-position model. The record is from RNAcentral.
AGUGAACGCUGGCGGUAGGCCUAACACAUGCAAGUCGAACGGCAGCACAGUAAGAGCUUGCUCUUACGGGUGGCGAGUGGCGGACGGUUGAGGAAUACAUCGGAAUCUACUUUUUCGUGGGGGAUAACGUAGGGAAACUUACGCUAAUACCGCAUACGACCUACGGGUGAAAGCAGGGGAUCUUCGGACCUUGCGCGAUUGAAUGAGCCGAUGUCGGAUUAGCUAGUUGGCGGGGUAAAGGCGCACCAAGGCGACGAUCCGUAGCUGGUCUGAGAGGAUGAUCAGCCACACUGGAACUGAGACACGGUCCAGACUCCUACGGGAGGCAGCAGUGGGGAAUAUUGGACAAGGGGCGAAAGCCUGAUCCAGCCAUACCGCGUGGGUGAAGAAGGCCUUCGGGUUGUAAAGCCCUUUUGUUGGGAAAGAAAAGCAGCAGGUUAAUACCCCGCUGUUCUGACGGUACCCAAAAAAUAAGCACCAGCUAACUUCGUG